UCGUUGUAGCAAUACGAUGGAAAGUCUAGUGGCGAACGGGUGCUUAACACGUGGGCAACCUGCCAAGAAGUGGGGGACAGCUCGCCGAAAGGCGGAUUAAUACCGCAUGUGAUUAGAGAGGACAUCCUUUCGAAAUUAAAGUCGGGGCAACCUGACGCUUCUUGUGGGGCCCGCGGCCUAUCAGCUAGUUGGUGGGGUAACGGCUCACCAAGGCUUUGACGGGUAGCUGGUCUGAGAGGACGACCAGCCACACUGGGACUGAGACACGGCCCAGACACCUACGGGUGGCAGCAGUCGAGAAUUUUUGACAAAGGGGGAAACCCUGAUCGAGCGACGCCGCGUGGAGGAUGAAGGUCUUCGGAUUGUAAACUCCUGUCAUUGGGGAACAAUGCACAGAUAUUAACUGUAUUUGUGUUGAUAGUACCCGAAGAGGAAGAGACGGCUAGCUCUGUGCCAGCAGCCGCGGUAAUACAGAGGUCUCAAGCGUUGUUCGGAUUCAUUGGGCGUAAAGGGUGCGUAGGCGGCGCGGUAAGUCGGGUGUGAAAUCUCGGAGCUUAACUCCGAAACUGCAUUCGAUACUGCCGUGCCUGAGGACUGGAGAGGAGACUGGAAUUCUCGGUGUAGCA
This 626-nucleotide ribosomal RNA is filed under the name uncultured Verrucomicrobiota bacterium. RNAcentral describes it as "bacterial SSU rRNA". It matches the Rfam family "Bacterial small subunit ribosomal RNA", at positions 71 to 680 of the family's 1533-position model. The record is from RNAcentral. Lineage: Bacteria; Pseudomonadati; Verrucomicrobiota.